This 253-nucleotide unclassified non-coding RNA is filed under the name uncultured bacterium. Its description in RNAcentral is "contains 16S-23S intergenic spacer region". It matches the Rfam family "Bacterial small subunit ribosomal RNA", at positions 524 to 776 of the family's 1533-position model. The record is from RNAcentral.
CACGUAGGGGGCAAGCGUUAUCCGGAAUUACUGGGCGUAAAGGGCGCGUAGGCGGCUGUGCUUGCCUGUGGUGGAAGCUCCUGGCUCAACUGGGAGAGGCCCACAGGGACGGCAUGGCUUGAGUGAGGCAGAGGGUCGCGGAACUGGCGGUGGAGUGGUGAAAUACGUAGAUAUCGCCAGGAACACCCGUGGCGAAGGCGGCGGCCUGGGCCUUGACUGACGCUGAGGCGCGAAAGCGAGGGGAGCGAACGGG